CCGCAUGAUAUCUAUCAUGAUGUUAUCUUCAUGGUUGAAACCAGCAAUGGCCUCUGCAGCAGAACCCAUUUCAAUAUUGGUGUUUCUCCUCCUUCUACUCUCCCCUUCAAAUUCAACGGCGUCGGAGCCGAUUCCAGCUGUUUGGCCGGAACAGUUCCACGCGGUGAUGUUCAUGAACAGAAGCGGAACUCUCCAGAAACUGGACUUAUGGUACGACUGGCCCAAUGGACGCAACUUCAACAUAAUUCAGGAACAGUUGAGCAACCUCAUCAAAUACGACCUUGAAUGGAACAACGGCACGUCGUUCAUCUACACGCUGGACCCCUCAAACCAGGAAUGUGAAGUCGUUAACGUCUCUGUGGGUAUUCUUCGCCCUAAUUGGCUCGACGGUGCAACCUAUUUGGGUCAGCAGCGUGUUGACAAUUUCCUCUGCAACGUGUGGGAGAAAGUUGACUUCAUUUGGUACUACGAGGAUGUCCUCACUCGAAGACCUGUUAAGUGGGUCUUCUACACAGGAUAUACUGCUCAUGUGAUGACAUUUGAGGUUGGGGCAGUGCUUGAGGAUCCGAAUUGGCAAGCUCCUCUUUACUGUUUUAGUAAGUUUGAUAAGGAAAUGAGUAGCUCUAGCUACCCAUUAAAACCUGCUCUUCAUGGUGGUUCUUUUGGGGGGUUGAUCAGAGAGAUAGCAGAUAGUGCAGAUGUGUUGAAAUUUUGAAAUGGCAUCUGUUGCUGUAUAUUGUAUAUACUAUAAGUCUAAUCCAUCUCUGUUUAGGGGAUAUGUAAUAAUUGUUAAGUUUAGCUAUAAAUAAUUACAUGCAUUUGCCAUCAAAAUCUUGUUGGAAGCUGCAUAUUUAAUAAUUGGGAGCUAACAGUUGUUUUCAUCCAGGCAGUUAGUGAACUAUAAUUGUAGACCUUGAGUGGAACGGACCGAGGUUUUUGUGUGUGAGAUAUGUUACUUGUGGUAGACCAAGAAUCCAGAAAUUUUAUAAAUCUGCAGCGUGGAAGUAAUGGAAUGUUUUGUUAUUUUUUUACAGAAACACUCGCCUAAGAGAAGCUUAAUUGGUUGGUCCAUACUGUCUUUCUGGGAAAGCGUUAUGAAAAACCUUGAUAGGCAUUCUGCUCGUGAAGCAAGAGAAAUACCUGGCUGGCAAACCAUGGGUAAGAGGCUGGGAUAUAUCUGGUAGAAUAUUAAAAUGUAUAUUGUCAUGAACAGAAAAUGUAUCUGAGAUCUUCAUGAACUUGCUGAUAUGUUUGUGGGGAUCCUCGUGUGGCAGUCCAUGAUAUUGUGUCAUCGAUUGGAGGAGCUGCACUAUGCCUGGUUUUAGAUCAAAGUUAACUUCCACACCAAGUUGGACUAUCCCCGGAAUAACUCCAUCAAGGGAUGGAAUGUGCAUAUUCCAUAAUGGGGAGUUCUUCAUCCGCUAUUGCCAGUGCAUUGGUGCUAUUUCCAUCCCCAUUUUCAUUGUGACCAUGGAUGGAACUAUUAUCAUCUGCCAUCUUGUAACAGCAACAAUCGACUACUUUUAUUUUCUUCAAAAGUGGCAGAACUUUGCAAUUCCCACUGUUGGUUUUA
Molecule: RNA transcript, 1573 nt
Organism: Gastrolobium bilobum
Lineage: Eukaryota; Viridiplantae; Streptophyta; Magnoliopsida; Fabales; Fabaceae
Exons: 3
Source: RefSeq, a predicted model, not a curated record